GACUGAGUAAGAACAGGACUGAUGGACUGAGUAAGAACAGGACUGAUGGACUGAGUAAGAACAGGACUGAGUAAGAACAGGACUGAUGGACUGAGUAAGAACAGGACUGAUGGACUGAGUAAGAACAGGACUGAUGGACUGAAUAAGAACAGGACUGAUGGACUGAGUAAGAACAGGACUGAGUAAGAACAGGACUGAAUAAGAACAGGACUGAGUAAGAACAGGACUGAGUAAGAACAGGACUGAGUAAGAACAGGACUGAGUAAGAACAGGACUGAGUAAGAACAGGACUGAGUAAGAACAGGACUGAGUAAGAACAGGACUGAGUAAGAACAGGACUGAGUAAGAACAGGACUGAGUAAGAACAGGACUGAUGGACUGAGUAAGAACAGGACUGAGUAAGAACAGGACUGAUGGACUGAGUAAGAACAGGACUGAGUAAGAACAGGACUGAUGGACUGAGUAAGAACAGGACUGAGUAAGAACAGGACUGAUGGACUGAGUAAGAACAGGACUGAUGGACUGAGUAAGAACAGGACUGAGUAAGAACAGGACUGAUGGACUGAGUAAGAACAGGACUGAGUAAGAACAGGACUGAGUAAGAACAGGACUGAUGGACUGAGUAAGAACAGGACUGAUGGACUGAGUAAGAACAGGACUGAGUAAGAACAGGACUGAUGGACUGAGUAAGAACAGGACUGAUGGACUGAGUAAGAACAGGACUGAGUAAGAACAGGACUGAUGGACUGAGUAAGAACAGGACUGAUGGACUAAG
Molecule: long non-coding RNA, 775 nt
Organism: Oncorhynchus tshawytscha (Chinook salmon)
Lineage: Eukaryota; Metazoa; Chordata; Actinopteri; Salmoniformes; Salmonidae
Exons: 2
Source: RefSeq, a predicted model, not a curated record